UCGUUUCUCUUCGCAGGUCGAAUAAACUUAUAUAUAUAGGUAUAUAUGUAUAAAUAUAUAUAGGUAUGCAUAAAAGGUUUCAUAAACAUACGCGCGAGCAAAGUUUCGUCGUAGGUUUGUUGUUUCUUUCGCAAGAAGGAAGAACCGCGAAAUGCUAUCAUCGUUGGUCGUUUGCUAGUGGUGCCAGCGGCGGGGGUUAUCAUGUAGGCCACGUGACGUCAUAUCGUUCGCUGCCGCCAACAAAAUGGCUGCCGUUGUAUCUCGGUAGCGGGUCAGAACGGAAAAAUAAAAAUUUCUUCCUCCUAAGUAUACAUAUAUAAUAUUUGUUGAGAGGGAGGGGGAAGAGAGGCAAUUAUAUCUUCGUAAAGAAUAUAUGACAAAUAUCAGAAAAGAAGAUUCAGAAACGAAGGAAGGAAGGAACGUUGCGUGGCGCGUCGGCAGUGUCGAUCAUGUGACCUUGACACGACAGAGUUUUGAACGAUGAAGUUUGCCGCCGGUAUUAAAAAAGAAAAAGAAGAAAAAAA
RNAcentral lists this long non-coding RNA (524 nucleotides) under Polistes fuscatus (common paper wasp). RNAcentral's name for it is "uncharacterized LOC122524573". The record is from RNAcentral. Lineage: Eukaryota; Metazoa; Arthropoda; Insecta; Hymenoptera; Vespidae.